CUUAAAGGGAGACCUAAUUCAGGUAGGAGACGAAAAAAAAGUAGUCGCUACCAAGAAUCAAUCCCAAAAGGUCGGAGCGAGGCGAAAUUGGCUUUCAAACUAGGUUCUGGGUUCACACAAGACCUGAAUCAGGAACAAGGGCUAUUAGCUCAGGUGGUUAGAGCGCACCCCUGAUAAGGGUGAGGUCCCUGGUUCGAGUCCAGGAUGGCCCACCUGCACAGGUGGCAAAAACAAGAGAAGCGAGGAAUCAGCACCUUAUCUUACUGACAUAGUAAGAGAGAAUGCUGGCUCUGAGUAAAGAGUCCAGAGGAACCUUGAAAACUGCAUAGAGCUAGGUGAAAAAGCCAAAAAAGAAGACCGCAAGGUC
Molecule: transfer RNA, 367 nt
Filed under: Microcystis sp. TAU-MAC 2310
Lineage: Bacteria; Bacillati; Cyanobacteriota; Cyanophyceae; Chroococcales; Microcystaceae
Description: partial 16S-23S ribosomal RNA intergenic spacer
Rfam family: tRNA (bases 139-212)
Source: RNAcentral